This 474-nucleotide ribosomal RNA is filed under the name uncultured bacterium. RNAcentral's name for it is "bacterial SSU rRNA". It matches the Rfam family "Bacterial small subunit ribosomal RNA", at positions 8 to 463 of the family's 1533-position model. The record is from RNAcentral.
AGAGUUUGAUCCUGGCUCAGAACGAACGCUGGCGGCGUGCCUAACACAUGCAAGUCGAACGAGAAACUUUCCGCUUGCGGAAAGGAGUAAAGUGGCGCACGGGUGAGUAACGCGUGGGUAACCUACCCCUGAAAUCGGGAUAACUUCGCGAAAGCGGUGCUAAUACCGAAUAUGGUCCCAGAGAUUGUGGUCUAUGGGAUCAAAGGUGACCCUUCAUGAAAGUUGCCGUUCAAGGAUGGGCCCGCGUACCAUUAGCUUGUUGGUAGGGUAACGGCCUACCAAGGCUGCGAUGGUUAGCUGGUCUGAGAGGAUGAUCAGCCACACUGGAACUGGAACACGGUCCAGACUCCUACGGGAGGCAGCAGUGAGGAAUUUUGCGCAAUGGGGGCAACCCUGACGCAGCAACGUCGCGUGAGUGAAGAAGGCUUUCGGGUUGUAAAGCUCUGUCAAGCGGGAAAAAAAUCCCAUGAUUAA